GCCUGGAUGGCUCAGUGGUUGAGCCUCUGCCUUUGGCUCAGGGUGUGAUCCCGAGCACGUCCUGGGAUAGAGUCCCACUUCAGGCU
RNAcentral lists this transfer RNA (86 nucleotides) under Canis lupus familiaris (dog). It matches the Rfam family "tRNA". Rfam says of the family: Transfer RNA (tRNA) molecules are approximately 80 nucleotides in length. Their secondary structure includes four short double-helical elements and three loops (D, anti-codon, and T loops). Further hydrogen bonds mediate the characteristic L-shaped molecular structure. tRNAs have two regions of fundamental functional importance: the anti-codon, which is responsible for specific mRNA codon recognition, and the 3' end, to which the tRNAs corresponding amino acid is attached (by aminoacyl-tRNA synthetases). tRNAs cope with the degeneracy of the genetic code in two manners: having more than one tRNA (with a specific anti-codon) for a particular amino acid; and 'wobble' base-pairing, i.e. permitting non-standard base-pairing at the 3rd anti-codon position. RNAcentral also lists the same sequence under 1 other name. Lineage: Eukaryota; Metazoa; Chordata; Mammalia; Carnivora; Canidae. The record is from Rfam by way of RNAcentral.